This 160-nucleotide unclassified non-coding RNA is filed under the name uncultured Saccharomycetales. RNAcentral describes it as "sequence contains ITS1". The record is from RNAcentral. Lineage: Eukaryota; Fungi; Ascomycota; Saccharomycetes.
ACGAGUUUUGUACUAAUUCAGUACAAUCUUCAUCCAUAACACCUGUGAACUUUACAUAAACUUUUGCUUUGGCUGGACGUAAAAAACCUAGCCAAAGGAUUUAAACAAAACCUUUUAUUUAAUAACCUAUUGUCUGAAUUGUAAUAAUUUUAAUUAUUCA